GACGAACGCUGGCGGCGUGCUUAACACAUGCAAGUCGAACGGUGAAGCGAGUGCUUGGCCUCGUGGAUCAGUGGCGAACGGGUGAGUAACACGUGAGUAACCUGCCCAUCGCUCUGGGAUAAGCAUUGGAAAGGGUGUCUAAUACUGGAUACGACCACCCCUUGCAUGGGGUGUUGGUGGGAUGAGUUAUCGGUGGUGGUAGGACUCGCGGCCUGUCAGCUUGUUGGCGGGGUAAUGGCUCACCAAGGCGACGACGGGUAGCCGGCCUGCGAGGGGGAUCGGCCACACUGGGACUGAGACACGGCCCAGACUCCUACGGGAGGCAGCAGUGGGGAAUAUAACACAAUGGGCGAAAGCCUGAUGCAGCGACGCCGCGUGAGGGAAGACGGCCUUCGGGUUGUAAACCUCAUUCAGCAGGGAAGAAGCGAAAGUGACGGUACCUGCAGAAGAAGCACCGGCUAACUACGUG
RNAcentral lists this ribosomal RNA (469 nucleotides) under uncultured bacterium. RNAcentral describes it as "partial 16S ribosomal RNA". It matches the Rfam family "Bacterial small subunit ribosomal RNA", at positions 28 to 507 of the family's 1533-position model. The record is from RNAcentral.